This 424-nucleotide ribosomal RNA is filed under the name uncultured bacterium. RNAcentral's name for it is "partial 16S ribosomal RNA". It matches the Rfam family "Bacterial small subunit ribosomal RNA", at positions 360 to 776 of the family's 1533-position model. The record is from RNAcentral.
AAUUUUGGACAAUGGGGGAAACCCUGAUCCAGCCAUCCCGCGUUCAUGCUUAAGGCCUUAGGGUUGUAAAGUACUUUUGGCAGAGAAGAAAAGGUAUCCCCUAAUACCGAAUACUGCUGACGGGCACUGCAGUAGAAGCACCGGACAACCACGUGCCCGCCGCAGCUGUAAGACGUAGGGUGCAAGCGUUAAUCGGAAUUACUGGGCGUAAAGCGUGUGUAGGCGGUUCGGAAAGAAAGAUGUGAAAUCCCAGGGCUCAACCUUGGAACUGCAUUUUUAACUGCCGAGCUAGAGUAUGUCAGAGGGGGGUAGAAUACCACGUGUAGCAGUGAAAUGCGUAGAUAUGUGGAGGAAUACCGAUGGCGAAGGCAGCCCCCUGGGAUAAUACUGACGCUCAGACACGAAAGCGUGGGGAGCAAACAGG